UGGCGACCGGCGCACGGGCGAGUAACGCGUAUCCAACCUGCCCUUUACUAUGGGACAGCCCGUCGAAAGGCGGAUUAAUACCGUAUGUUGUCAUGUUGAUGCAUAUUUUCAUGACCAAAGGCUUCGGCCGGUAAAGGAUGGGGAUGCGUCUGAUUAGCUUGCCGGCGGGGUAACGGCCCACCGGGGCGACGAUCAGUAGGGGUUCUGAGAGGAAGGUCCCCCACAUUGGAACUGAGACACGGUCCAAACUCCUACGGGAGGCAGCAG
This 267-nucleotide ribosomal RNA is filed under the name uncultured bacterium. RNAcentral describes it as "partial 16S ribosomal RNA". It matches the Rfam family "Bacterial small subunit ribosomal RNA", at positions 89 to 354 of the family's 1533-position model. The record is from RNAcentral.